AUUGAACGCUGGCGGCAUGCCUUACACAUGCAAGUCGAACGGCAGCACGGGUGCUUGCACCUGGUGGCGAGUGGCGAACGGGUGAGUAAUACAUCGGAACAUGUCCUGUAGUGGGGGAUAGCCCGGCGAAAGCCGGAUUAAUACCGCAUACGAUCUACGGAUGAAAGCGGGGGACCUUCGGGCCUCGCGCUAUAGGGUUGGCCGAUGGCUGAUUAGCUAGUUGGUGGGGUAAAGGCCUACCAAGGCGACGAUCAGUAGCUGGUCUGAGAGGACGACCAGCCACCCUGGAACUGGGCCACGCCCCAGACUCCUACGGGAGGCAGCAUUGGGAAUUUUGGACAAUGGGCGAAAGCCUGAUCCAGCAAUGCCGCGUGUGUGAAGAAGGCCUUCGGGUUGUAAAGCACUUUUGUCCGGAAAGAAAUCCUUGGCCCUAAUACGGUCGGGGGAUGACGGUACCGGAAGAAUAAGCACCGGCUAACUACGUG
RNAcentral lists this ribosomal RNA (485 nucleotides) under uncultured bacterium. Its description in RNAcentral is "partial 16S ribosomal RNA". It matches the Rfam family "Bacterial small subunit ribosomal RNA", at positions 30 to 507 of the family's 1533-position model. The record is from RNAcentral.